CCCUUAGAUGUUCUGGGCAGCACGCGCGCUACAAUGGACUUCGCAAACGGAUGCAUUCUCGAAGGAGAAUGCCAAUCUUGGAAUCUAUGCCUUGGUCGGGACAGUUGCUUGCAAUUUUUCGACUCGAACCAGGAAUUCCUUGUAAUCGUGAUUCAUCACAUCACGAUGAAUACGUCCCUGCCCUUUGUACACACCGCCCGUCGCUCCUACCGAUCGAAGAGUUAGGUGAAUUGUUUUGAUCGAUAAGAUUUGACUAUGGUCAACUCUCGUUGUGAAAUUCUGUGAAUCUGACUGUUUAGAGGAAGGAAAAGUCGUAACA
RNAcentral lists this ribosomal RNA (319 nucleotides) under uncultured eukaryote. RNAcentral's name for it is "partial 18S ribosomal RNA". It matches the Rfam family "Eukaryotic small subunit ribosomal RNA", at positions 1470 to 1796 of the family's 1831-position model. The record is from RNAcentral.